RNAcentral lists this unclassified non-coding RNA (623 nucleotides) under Penaeus japonicus. Its description in RNAcentral is "atlastin-2-like, transcript variant X6". Lineage: Eukaryota; Metazoa; Arthropoda; Malacostraca; Decapoda; Penaeidae. The record is from RNAcentral.
GUUCGCAAAACGGAAAUUCGAAGUUCGCGCCAAAAGUCGAACAUGAAUUUCUUCUCAAUUUUAUUUAUUUCCUUUACGCAAUAAAUAUCGCAGCCAGUUACACUUAAAAAAAAGACACUAAAUUAUUAUGUGAAAAUUCUAUAUCCUUAUAGCAUUAAUAGGUAAGAAUGAUAUUUGAGAGAUUUAGAAAUGCACUGCACUUGAUCUGGCAAAACAAGACAGGACCAGUUGUGACUCUCACCUCUCUUUGCACGAAUAUUUGGAAUGAUGGAUGGCCAUCCUGUGCCAGUCCUCAUUCAGAAUGAGGAUACAGGAGUCUUUGACUUAGAUGAAGAGGCCCUGCAGGAAGUGCUCCUUAAUCCCAAGAUUGCAGAUAAGUAUGUUUGCGUUCUUGCUGUGGCAGGAGCUUUUCGGAAGGGGAAAUCUUUCCUGCUCGACUUCCUGCUCAGAUACAUGAGUUCCCAGGUGAGAUUUGUAUAGCACAUAUUUGUCAGAACUAAUCUGUUAUGUUAUUAAAAUCGUAGUAGCUUAGAUACUGAAAUUUACUAGUUUAUUCAAUAAAAAUUAAUAAGCUAUAGAUAAUGUCAGUCCCCCAAGCUCGCUUUCUAUAUUUAUAUAUAUAU